RNAcentral lists this ribosomal RNA (330 nucleotides) under uncultured bacterium. RNAcentral's name for it is "bacterial SSU rRNA". It matches the Rfam family "Bacterial small subunit ribosomal RNA", at positions 568 to 898 of the family's 1533-position model. The record is from RNAcentral.
UGUGCAGGCGGUUGCUUAAGUUUGGUGUGAAAUCUCCCGGCUCAACUGGGAGGGUGCGCCGAAUACUGAGUGACUCGAGUGCGGGAGAGGAAAGUGGAAUUCCUGGUGUAGCGGUGAAAUGCGUAGAUAUCAGGAGGAACACCGGUGGUGUAGACGGCUUUCUGGACCGUAACUGACGCUGAGACACGAAAGCGUGGGUAGCAAACAGGAUUAGAUACCCUGGUAGUCCACGCCCUAAACGGUGCAUAUUUGGUGUGGGUCAUUCAGUUGAUCCGUGCCGGAGCUAACGCGUUAAAUAUGCCGCCUGGGGAGUACAGUCGCAAGGCUGAA